This 498-nucleotide ribosomal RNA is filed under the name uncultured bacterium. Its description in RNAcentral is "partial 16S ribosomal RNA". It matches the Rfam family "Bacterial small subunit ribosomal RNA", at positions 28 to 507 of the family's 1533-position model. The record is from RNAcentral.
GACGAACGCUGGCGGUGUGCCUAAUACAUGCAAGUCGAACGAGAGCGACCGGUGCUUGCACUGGUCAAUCUAGUGGCGAACGGGUGAGUAACACGUGGGUAACCUGCCCAUCAGAGGGGGAUAACAUCCGGAAACGGAUGCUAAAACCGCAUAGGUCUUCGAACCGCAUGGUUUGAAGAGGAAAAGAGGCGCAAGCUUCUGCUGAUGGAUGGACCCGCGGUGCAUUAGCUAGUUGGUGAGGUAACGGCUCACCAAGGCCGUGAUGCAUAGCCGACCUGAGAGGGUGAUCGGCCACAUUGGGACUGAGACACGGCCCAAACUCCUACGGGAGGCAGCAGUAGGGAAUCUUCCGCAAUGGACGCAAGUCUGACGGAGCAACGCCGCGUGAGUGAAGAAGGUUUUCGGAUCGUAAAACUCUGUUGUUAGAGAAGAACAAGUGCUAGAGUAACUGUUAGCGCCUUGACGGUAUCUAACCAGAAAGCCACGGCUAACUACGUG